Pseudopodoces humilis (Tibetan ground-tit) is the source of this 222-nucleotide non-coding RNA. Lineage: Eukaryota; Metazoa; Chordata; Aves; Passeriformes; Paridae. The record is from RefSeq and is a predicted model, not a curated record.
CCAACGGCUGCGCUUCAGCGUCGGCCCGGAAAUGGCGCCGGAAGUGGAGAGGGCCAAGAGACACCUGGACAGCCUGGCGGCGGAUGUGGAGCUUCACUGCCUGGAGCACCCCGGGCUCGGAGAGGGGGCGGGGCCGAGGGCGGAGAGCCUGGUGCAGGUGGCGCUGCAGGUGGCCUUCUACAGGGCCCACGGCUCUCUCUGUGCCACCUGCGAGCCGCUGUC